AUGGGGACAACAUUCCGAAAGGAAUGCUAAUACCGAAUGAAGUGCAGGGGAGGCAUCUCCCCUGCAUGAAAGAUGGCCUCUAUAUAUAAGCUAUCACCUGUUGAUGGGUCUGCGUCUGAUUAGCUGGUAGGUGAGGUAACGGCUCACCUAGGCGACGAUCAGUAGCCGGUCUGAGAGGAUGAACGGCCACAUUGGGACUGAGACACGGCCCAG
This 213-nucleotide ribosomal RNA is filed under the name uncultured Veillonellaceae bacterium. RNAcentral describes it as "partial 16S ribosomal RNA". It matches the Rfam family "Bacterial small subunit ribosomal RNA", at positions 137 to 334 of the family's 1533-position model. Lineage: Bacteria; Bacillati; Bacillota; Negativicutes; Veillonellales; Veillonellaceae. The record is from RNAcentral.